RNAcentral lists this long non-coding RNA (20419 nucleotides) under Marmota monax (woodchuck). The record is from RNAcentral. Lineage: Eukaryota; Metazoa; Chordata; Mammalia; Rodentia; Sciuridae.
UCAGUAUGCCAUGUUCCUGUCCCUGGUGUUCCUAGCUGAGCUUGUUGCUGGCAUUUCAGGAUUUGUGUUUCGUCAUGAGGUGAGUUCACAUAAGGUAGAGAACUCAGUUAAGGGGCCUUUGGAAGGGGGAUUUUUGAGACGGCUUAAAAUGUGUAAAGGGUGCAUAUAGGCUACCUGGUUUCUCUAGUGAUACUGCUAUUUUCCAAAUGUCAUGUAAUAUGGCUUAAAAUUCUAGUGACGUUCUAAGUGCAGGUACUUUAACAGAUUCAAAACCCUCAUUGUUGAUCCUAUUUCACUAUGUAGCUAUUACACAAUAUGAUUUUCCACUCUGUUUUAAAGUAGUGACCUUCAGUGCAGAUUAAAAUAAAAUUACUCCUUUAAAAAUAGAUGCUUUAUAGGACACACAUGUGUAUCUAUGUAACAAGAUUCCUGAGACUAUAAAGGGAAGUCAAAGUACUUGUCCUGCUGCUUGGAAAUCCAUGAUUGUACCCUAUAAAGGCAGAAGGACAUAGGCAUGUACUAGAAAAUGGAAAAUAUAACAUGGUAUAGGUUGAAAUCCUACCAAGGUAGAGUGUUGCCAUGACCCUUGAGUCUGAUAUCAUCUAGUCCCAGGUCCCACUUUUGGGCUUGGUCAAGAUAAAUUCCAUGGGAGUCUGCCUUAGGUGCUUUCUCUUCCUUUCCCUGUUACCUUGUUUUUUUUUUUUUUUUCUUUAUUGGAGGCAGUAUCCCAGAUGCCAAAGCAUUCACAUGGGAUUGCACACAGUGCUGCAUCCAGAAUUAGACCCGCUGUGUUAGUCAGCUCACUGUCACUAUGACAAAAUACCCAAGAUAAACAGCUUAAAGUAGAAAGGUUUAUUUUGGCUUAUGGUUUCAGUCAAUGGUCACUGGGUGCUAUUGCUUUGUGGUAGCACAGUAUAUCGUGGUGGGUGGGAGUGUCUGGCAGAAAAGGCUGUCACCUCAUGGUGCCCAGGAAGCAAAAAACAGAGCAAGGAGCCAGGGUCCCAAUAUCCCCUUCAAGGGCACACCCCCAAUGACCUGAGACUUCAUAUAAAUAAUCCCCAACUCUUAAAAGUCCCACAACCUCCCAAUAUCUCCAUGAGCUGAAACCAAGCCUUUAAUACAUGGACCAUUAGGGAACAUUGAAGACCCAAACUAUAGCAAUCCUCAUUCUUAUUAUCAAUUGAUGAAAAUUGAUGACAUCAUGGCCUCAAUACCCCUCAUAGAUGCCCCAAGUACAUAUGUGAAUCUCAGGAGCAGCCUGACUCACUCCUCCCUGAGCCCUUGCCCACUUCCUCUGGGAUACUGCCAUGACUGUGUUCCACAUAGGGGUUUUCUCUUAAUGGGUUUCAUUCCCUAAGAUCUGGAGAUCCUUAUCUCCCUCACCUCUUUUCAUUUGGAACACUCUGGGGUGUAGUAGGGAGGGUUGCAGUGCCACCAGUUCUGGUCUUGAGUCUGGCGUUAAACUCACAUGGUGAAAAUAGGCCACACUUAAUGCCAUUUAUUCAGAAGAAUGCCCAACUAUCCUAUAGGGCAACAGCAGGCCUGUUCCAUCAGCAUGAGUCCUCAGUAUGGUGCAGGGUCUAUUCUGUGCAGCUCACUUGUCCACGAGACAAUUCAGGUACAGUAAAAUGAGAUAACACAAUUGGGUAUGGUCACCACCUUGGCUUAGAUGCUUCAUGUAACUAACCAUUCUUUCCCUUCUUUAACUGUCCAUUGGACAUAGCUUCCAGUAUUUCAUCAAGGAAUAUACCAAGUUAGGAAAGUCAACAUACUUAGCUUAAGCUUCCCACCAGGUAAUAAUAAUAUGGCCAUUUGCUGUCCAGAGGCAUUUCACUAAUCAGGGGUCAGUUUUACUUAAGCCAGGUUACCUGGUAACAUACCUAACACCCUACCUUCAUCAAAUUACCAGGAAGACAGAACUUGAAAAUUUCCCUACAAAUGUAUUCAUUCAUGUUUUGUUAACUCCUUAUUAACAUAAAAAGUUCUUGUCCUUUAGCUUAUUUUACUUUGGCCUCAGUAAAGACAGGUAAAAGUUGAUUUUUUCCCUCUCCUGUAUGGUAAGAUAGGAUCUGUUUUUGGAUGAAACAUCAGUAUUCCUGUCACUCCAAUGGCCUGUCCUUUAUCCUUGUUUUUGCACAAGGUCAGAGAAAGUUACAGAAAGAUGGGCAUUAAUCAAUGCAAAUAAAAUAACUAGAAAACUCAUGCCUAACAUUUUGGCAGCUCACAAUCCCAACCCUUUCAGAAACUGACUAGCCACUUUGCUGGGUCAUUGAAUCAGCCAGGCUUCCUCUGGUUUAGGGGUGAGGGCAACACUUUUUAUUAGAAAAAAAUACUGAGCUAAUAAAUCCCUUGGUGAACUUUCUGAGUGCUUUUGUCUCAGAAAACAGGGCAUUCCCGAUCUCUGAGCACCAUGUAUGCAGACACUCAGAAGAGGCUACCAUGGGGUUGAAGUUGGUAUGAAUCUGAGUCAAUUUGGGUUGCAGUGGCCUAGAACCAUAUUGUUCCUUGUCUUCCACAGAUCAAGGACACCUUUCUGAGGACUUACACGGAUGCUAUGCAGAACUACAAUGGCAAUGAUGAGAGGAGCCGGGCCGUGGACCACGUGCAGCGCAGUGUAAGUUCCAGGGAAGGAGAUUGGGAUGGGAUCUGCCUGCAGGGUCUGGGCUGAGUCUUGUAGGCAGCCAGUAGGUUGGGCUAGCAGCAUUUGCUGUGAAUUUCCAUUCUUUAGCUCUUGGUCAAGUUCCAUUUUCAAGAGUUGACACUGGUAUUUGUCUAGGCUCCAUUUCUCCAGGUAAUUAAUGUCAAAGAGGGCCACUCCCUUGAGUAAGCUGUGCAUCAGUAAGGAUUGUGAGCAUUCUGAUGACAGCUUAUUUGCCCUUACAAUCUGAAUCCUGGGAAAGGAUUUAGGCAGAGAGUAGACGACAGCCUGGCUUUGAGUUGGUUUCCAAAGGCUGGCUCUCUGGAAUCAGUGUCUUUAAGAUAGAGAGCUUGGAUGAGCUGCAUCCACCAUCUAAGGCAGUGUAUGGAGAAACAGAGGAAUCUGGCAGGUGUGGGAAUGGCCUGGGCUGCCGGGAGGCUCUCAGGGUGACAGGUGCUAGAGUACAAGCCUGAUUGCCCAUCAGGAUUACCUAGGAAGGUUUUUGGCUUUGAGUUUUCUUGUUCUAGUUUUUUUUUUAAUAUUACAGAAACAGUAUUUAAAAUUAUUUUGAUAUUUUAUUGGUGCAUUUAAAAUUAUACAGAAUGUUAGGGUUCAUUGUGACAUAUUUGUACAUGCACACAACAUAAUUUUAUGCAUUAGAUUUUCCAGUACUUCCCUUCUUCCUCCCUCUGACCCCCUUCAUCUACUCUACUUGUCUCCUUUCUAUUGAUUCAUUUUUAAUUGAUGCACUAUAAUUAUACAUAAAAUGAUUCAUUAUGCUAUGUCCAUACACGCACAUAGCAUAUUUUGGUCAAUUUCGUUCCCUAGUACCUCUCCUUUUCUUCCCUUCUUCCCUCCCUCUUGAUUCCCUUCCUAUACUCUACUUUUCUUUUAAUUUUGUGAGAUCUCCUUUUUUUACAAUUCAUUUUCUUUCUCAACUUCCACAUAUGAGAGAAAACAUUCAACCCCUGACUUUCUGAAUCUGGCUUAUUUCACUUAGUAUGAUGUAUUCCAGUUCCAUCCAUUUAUCAGAAUUUCAAACUUCAAGUAAAAUUUCAAGAAAAAUUGAAAGAAUAUUACAAUAAACUGUAUACCCUUUGCCCAAACUCAACAACUAGAUAUAUAUUUCUGUCCUAUUUAUUUUAAUAUUUUCUACAUGAGGGAUUGGAAGACCUUUUCUGUGAAGGUUUAUUUUAGGCUAUGAGGGCCUUAUACUCUGUCACAACUACUCUGCUGCUGUAGCACAAAAGCAAUCACAGAAAUAGCUAACAAAUAGGUGUGGUUGUGUUUCAAUAAAACUUUAUUCACAAAACAGGCAGCUGAUGGGCUGUGGAUUGCCAAAGCCAGCUCUCUCUCUCUUUCUUUAUGUGCGUGCUACCCCCCCCCCACAAACCAUUGGUAUAGAUCUAAUGAAGUGCUCUGAAAAACCAUUAUUUGCCCCAGCUUCCCCAUGAACAAUUCUGCUGUAGCUGGUGUGUAUGUCUCUGUCUUUAAUGACACACUACUCUCACAGGUGAUUGUGAUACUUUGCCAGGGCAGAGAAGCACAGCUUUGCUUUGCGGAGUUGGUAAGAAAGCCAGUGGACAUAUAAUCUAGACUUACAAGAUGCAGGCCAGUGAGUGAGGAGACCACAGUGUUUUUGAUCUACCACUCUUUGAUUCUUUUCCUUUCUCUGUUAAUAGCUGAGCUGCUGUGGUGUGCAGAACUACACCAACUGGAGCACCAGCCCCUACUUCCUGGAGCAUGGCAUCCCCCCAAGUUGCUGCAUGAAUGAAACUGACUGUAACCCCCAGGAUCUCCACAAUCUGACUGUGGCCGCCACCAAAGUUAACCAGAAGGUACCUGCUUCCUCCCAACCCUGGCAGGACUGGUUAUGAAUGUUUUAAUUUUUCACUUUUCAGGUGGAGGCUCACUAAGUUGCUAAAGCUACCCUCAAACCUGUGAUCCUUCUGCCUCAGCCUCCUGAGUAGCUAGAAUCAUAGGCAUGCACCACCAUGCCUGGCAGUUGUGAAUGUUUGGGAGGGCUUUGUUGUUUUUAUGAAAUUCUGACAACCUAGUUUACAAAAGAUAGUCCAGGAGGCUGUCAGGUGUCUUCCUUUGUGGUCCUUGAUUGCCUGGGAAAAGCACUUGAGGCUGCUCCCUUCUAAAAGAGAAAAAACUGUGGCUCAGAUCAGCUUUCCACUGCUCUCCACAGACAGCUUCUACCAUGCACAGUUAUGAAGGUUCAGCAAGUGGUUCCUGUUAACCCUGAUGCUAGUGUCAGACAGAGAAUGUUGACUUUCUUCUUUCUGGGUAUCUUUCUUCUGCUAAUAUACCAUCUAAACAUGAAAUUAUUUGCAGCUGGGUGCCAGUCUUUGGCAGGAAGAUGGGAGUGGAGUUGACAGACAGCAUCUGCUUCUGCUAGGAGGGUGGCCCUUAUUUUAGGGAGUUUGCCAUUAUAGGAAAAGAAAUCAGCAACUCCAAUUCAACUCACUGUCAACAUCCUGAGUCUCAAUUAAAUCAGAGCGAAAAAAAGAUGGCUAAAAGCAAUUUGAAAGUCAGUACAUAGUGCAAAUGACGGAAAUGAAGUUUCUGUAGUUAGGGAAAAGGGAAAUCAAUUCUGUAUUCUGCUUUGCAGAGAAUAUGAUGAAGACAUGACAACUAUAUGUGAAAACUGUCUAUAUUCUCAAAGAUUUUGAGAAAUGUCAUAUGCCAAAUGUGAUUUAAUGAACCAAAGGGGAGAAAAUAAGCCUACUAUUGAGUUUACCUGUGGUUAUUCAGCCAUGGGGCAUAUUUUUCUACUAAGAUAAAAUUCCAAAUUUUUUUUAGUGGGGGGUACUGGGGAUUGAACCCAGGAGUGUUUUAACAUUGAACUACAUCCCUGGUCCUUUUUUUAUUUGAGCAUUAUAAUUAUACAUAGUAUGGGUUCAUUUUGACAAAAUUAUACAUAUAAGGAAUUUUAUUUCAGUCCUCAUCCCCGCUCUUUCUUCCUAUCCUUCUCCCUCCCCAUCUUUUUCCUCUACUGAUCUUCCUGUAACACAUUUAUUUAUUUAUUUUUGAUUGGUACUUGAUACAUAUACAUAAAGGUGAAAUUCCCUCUGGUACAUUUAUGUGUGCAUAUAACAUGAUUUUGUUAAAUACCACAACAGCAAUUCAGCUGAAAAAGAAAUUAAGAAAACUAUCCCAGACUUUUUCAGUUUUUAUUUCAAGAUGGUCUUGCUAAUUUACUGAGGGUGUCCUCAAACUUAUUGUCCUCCUUCUUCAACCUCCUGAUUGGCUGGGAUGAUAGGCUAUUCUUCUGAUGUCUUCAAAAUUCUGUAUGGUCUGGGCCAACUACUGAGAUUACAGCCCUUCUCUCAACAUUAGAAUGUUAAGAGUGGUUACAGGGCUGGGGCUGGGGCUCAGUGGUAGAGCGCUUGCCUGGCAUGUGUGAGGCACUGGGUUUGAUUCUCAGCACCACAUAGAAAUAAAUAAAUAAAGGUCUAUAAACAAGUUUAAAAAAUUUUUAAAAAGAGGUGGUUACUAUAUUUCACCCAUUUCAUGUUAGUAUUUGUAACAUGGACACUGCAAUGCAUCUUUGCCAUCCUGGAAGCUUUUUUGUCAUUCCGGGCUUAUUACUUUGCUAUUGGCAUGAUUCAGUAAGAUGCAAUACUAAAAGCUACCUGUCUUGGCUAAGAGAACAUCUGUUCUCAAACUUUUGAGGCUUCCUUCACCUCUCAUUAGUUAAUAAGACUACUUUUGGCUUUUUUCAUGAGUAUCCUCACUGAACACCCAUAUGUGUCACUAGGGUGCCAUUAUAUGGUGUGCCAAGCAGACCUGGCACAUGGUGGACACUCCAAUUUAUGGAAAGCAAGAGUGAUAUAUGGCAAUGAGAUAUUUGGCUCAUGAGGCUGGUUUAUAAAAGCAGAACUUACCAACGUUAGGUAAAAAAAAAUUUUUUUCACCCAAACUUGCUCUUCUUUUUUCAAAGUAAAGGAUCCAGAAAUCAUGAGCACAGGGUCUGGAGUCAGACCUAGUUUAAAUUCUGCUUCAGCCACUUGUAGGUUAUGUGAUCUUGAUCAAGUUACUUGACCUUUCUCGAUCUUUCUUUUUCCCAUCUGUAAAGUGGGGAUCAUAAUAGUUCCUGUCCCCUAGAGUUAUUGGAAAGUAUCUGGAGAUUUGGUUUAAAUUCAUUAAAAAUGGAGGAGAUAAAGUAUCUAAAGCAUAGUGCCUGGUACAGACAACGGGUACUGUAAUUGUUAACUGUGAUGAAAAAUGUCAACUGUGAUAUAAAUGUGAUCCUGAUGAUGACGAUGAUGAAGUUUGUCUUCCUCUCUAUUAUACCAUCUUUUGUUAGAAAUGGUACAUCAGGUCCUUAUAGGGUGGAUCUAUUGUUAAUAUCUAAAAGAAAAUUUGGGAGCAUAUCCUAUAGUGCAUCUAUAAUAUUUACAGUAAUUUCUAGAAAGAAAUUUAAUUGACAACCUACAUAUGGAACUUAUUCCCCAUCUUUCCAUUGCAGGCCUAUUUUGUAUUUCUCUGGGCACCUUAAGUACUUGGAAGAGGUGCUUAACUUUUUUCUCACUGCCCUUGUAUUCUCUAGCCUGGUUCCUCCAGAGAACAAAAAGUGGAUGGACACUAAAAUUUGUCUUUUGAGUUUCAUUAGACAUUCUCAUUUAAUGCCCACACAAAUCUCUGAGACCAAAUUACUUCUCCUGUCUAGUUUUUAUAGACCUCUCCAAAAGGGAAUUGGUUAUGGAGUAGAGAAAGUAACAGUAGGUGCUCAUAUAUGCCAGCCCCCCUUCAUUGACUUAUUUUCCCUUAAGAACUUAACUACUGCCGCAUUCUAGCUGUAUGGACUCCUGUGGUGUAGAUAGAUGGGUCAUUGAUAUAGAUCUUUGAGUGUUUUGAACCCUACACUCUGAUAGCACAGAAAGAUGAUUCUUGGCUUUUUCUUGGCAGCCCAAGGAAACCUAUGCUAUCCAGAUUACUUAGAGCAGGAGGGAGGAGAUGUGAACAGUUAACACAGGAUAUUUAUCGUUUAUUUUGGGGGCAGAUUUUUUGGUUUUUUUUUUUUUUGUUUUGCUACCAGAUUUGGUUGGCUAUUAGCAUUGGCUGAACCCUACUCCAUAAGAGUGCCUUGCCAGUUUGUAAGAGCAAGAAGAAGAAAGAGUUCUGCUUGACAGCUACAAAGAUACCUCUUCCCAAAACCUGUCUGGAACUAGCCUUCUCUUCCUUAGUUCAAGUCUGCCACUUGCAGAUGUUUUCCAUUGGUGACUGUGUUGAUUUAGACAUGCUGAGAGGGUAAGCAAAUUAACUAUUCUGUUUCUGGGUGUUUCCUAGGAGACUUAGCAACUCUCAGUAGAUUUAUCUCAUGCCUGAAAACCAGGCUUUCAUAUUAGGAAAUUGAGAGAGAUUAUUGUGGGUAGAUAAAAUCACACUUUAGUGCAGAACUUAAGGUUGAAUGCAAACAUGGCCUGUGGUUGUAAUAUCAAAGCAGUUCUCACAGUCUGCAGAGGUAUAGUGAGAUUUGCAAAAUGGGCCCUGGGUCCAUGUGGUGAAUAACAGAAAAAAAAAAACCCGGAGAUGGAAAACAUUUAUUUUGACAUCACUUUCAUCUUCUCAUCUUGAUUAAUCCUAUUACUGAUAUGAUGCAUUAAUUUGCUUUCUUAUUUGGAAUACAAAAUAGGAAACUUUCCUUACAGUGGAGUGCUUCUCAAACUUCAGUGGGUAUGUAUGUGAAUCACCUGGAAAUCUAGUUAAAAGUCAUUAAAUUAAUUCUAAAUAACCUGGGAUGUGGCCAGUGCUGGUUCAGCGGGUCGGGGGUAGGGCCUCCAAUCGGGCAGUUCUUAAAGCUCCCAGGUGAUGUGAUACUACUCAUUUAAGAACCACACAUUUGAGGAGCAGGGUUUACAGAAAACUAUUUUGCCACCACUGUACCAAUACCAGGUAGUUAUUUCAUUUUUCUGAUUCUUUUCACUGGUUAGAGUGACCUUAUUAAAAAAGAAGAAUGGAGUAAAAAUCAUAAUUUUGUGGGGUACUGAGGAUUGAAUUCAGGGGCACUCAACCACUGAGCCACAUCCCCAGCCCUAGUUUGUAUUUUAUUUAGAGACAGGGUGUCACUGAGUUGCUCAGCACAUUGCCAAAUUGCUGAGGGUUAAGCACCUCUUCCUAACCCUAACCUUUGAACUCAUGAUCCUCCUGCCUCAGCGUCCUGAGCCGCUGCGAUUACAGGCACACACCACUGCAUCCUGAAGAAAUUGAAAUUUUAAAAUAACAUAUUCAGCUUAAGUGUAGAAUUGAGACCAGUGAUAGAGGGUGGAAUCUGUGCUAACCCAUUUUGCAGAGGAAGAAAACAACCCACAUUACUUCUCUCUCAAUGGUAUUACCAGCUUGUGUUUCCAUAUUUUGAACUGACCUAACACUGGUGCUGGUCUGGAGUUCAUUCCUUCACCUGACCAUCACUGUGGGGAGAAGAUAUGGAAAUGAUGGCCAGCUCAACAAAAUGCUAUUUUAGCUGCUAUACCACUUAGGACAUUAUUAGAAUAUCCACUUCUUUUCCUGCUUUGAUUCUUUCCUAACCCAAACUCCUCUCCCUUCCACUACCUUUUAAAAAGUAGUACAUCAUUUCACUAUUAAAAGUAAAAGCAGCAAGCUUUUGCUAGAGAGAGGCAAGUUCCACAAGUCCCCAGAAACAAUAAUGUGCUACCCUUCAUAUUUGUAUCAGAUAACCAAUGAAUACAGAUUGUGACUCGCAUGGAAGCCACAUGUCUACAACCACUGCUAAGUUAAUGCACUUUUUGUCUGCAAACGGACUAUGAAUAUAAAACAUCAUUUCAAAGAUAGGGCGUUGGCAGAAUUUUCACAAGCUAUGACAAAUGUUAAAUUAAGAUUUGAAUUUUAAAAUAGGAGAUACAGUGGGGUGUUUGUUGUUCUUCAGAUGUUGGCUACAACUUACUAUGCCUUUCUCUAUGAACAAGAACCACCUUUAUCCGAUUUAUUGAAUUUAUGUCUUCAUUUUUCACACACUGAUACAUUCAAGUUGAAGCCAUUUAUCAGAAAACUAGAAAAAGACCAUGUCUUCCUAGCUGAAUAAAUCAAUUCAGAGGCUCUAGGUUGAUUUGGUUGGUUUCAAUUAAAAAAAAAAUAUAUAUAUAUAUAUAUAUAUAUAUCUAUCCCCACACUCAUAUUCACAUUCAUACACUCCUAUUACUGCCAGUUGACUUUAAAUUCGGUGUUUCCUGCCUGGAUUAGGUUGGUAAAAUGUAAUCUGGAAUAACAACAACAACAAACUUGUUUAGCACUGUGAUUGAACUCCAACCAGAUCUUAAAUAAAGGUAAUUCACUUUCUUAGCAUUAAAAUUACAUUAGAAUUUGUGAAAAUUGUUGACUUUAAGCAUGCCAUAUAAAGAUAUUAUAAUGUGUUAAAGGGAAAUUUACUUAGUUCUAAGGAUAAAGUUAUUGACAUUCAGAAAGGGGAAGUGACUUGUUCAAGGUUAUAUACUAAAUUUUGGAAAAUAUUACUCUAGAACAUAGAUUUUUCUCUACAAAAAACAAAAUCUUAGCAGUUCCCUUAGGAAGAACCAUAAAACUCCAGAGAGUUGGCAGAUCUUCAAACACCUCCCUCUAACCAGAUGAUUUGUCUUUGUUUAUCCAAGAUUUUCUCAUUCAUUGUCAAAAUGCUUGUGCCUAUGUUUAUGAUACUUGGGUUUUCUGUUCAAGGAUAUAGAAUGCCUUUUUAUCUGUUUCCAUUUACUUCUCUGCCUGUACAGUGUUUGCUUCAUAGAGCUUACAGAUUUCAUGCUAAAUUUAAUCCUACUGAGACAUUUGUAGAUGAAAUUAUGUCUGGGAUUUGUUUGAAAGUAACUCAGCCAGGGAAUGGAAGUCAGGGAUGUUUAAAUGAAAUAGGAUUGACUAUAUAUUAAUUGUGAUGUUAGGGGAAGUGUGGGGUGUGGGUUCAUUGUACUACUCUCUGUACUUUUUUGUACAUUUGAAUUUGUUUGUUUGAAUGGAAUUCCAGUAUUUCCUAGGGUGAGUUGCAAUUGUGUUUUCCAAAUUCAAGUCAAAGUAUAUGAGAGAAUGUUGUAAGUGUGUAUAACCCAGCCUAGACUGGCCAAUACACAUCCCUGAGACUCCUUCUCUCUAUUUCCAGGGUUGUUAUGAUCUGGUGACCAGUUUCAUGGAGACAAACAUGGGGAUCAUCGCUGGAGUUGCAUUUGGAAUUGCAUUCUCCCAGGUAGCCUACCUACAUCAUCGUGUGGGGCUCGAUCUAGGUUCUCCCCUGCCUCCAGCUCUGGUUUCCCUCCCUGGCCUCCAUAUUUUCAGCCUGCCAUCCUGUGCCUAGGGAAAGGCUGAUAGAUGGGGUCAGAGCUCCUUGCUCGUUAGUCCUCAGGUCAUCUGUUUAUUGAUUUUCCUUUUUCAACUUAAAUGAAGUUUUGCCAUCAAGGGAAUAUCGGUUACAGUUCAACUAAUGACUAGCUCCAGAUAAACAACUUGCUUCUUCUGUAGGUCAAAUGGAGGUUAACUGAACAAGGUGCUGGCUUAAUUGGAGCAUAAACAACUCAAAACAUCAAAUGGCUGAUCCGGAUUGGGGGGAGGUUUUUUGCUGGCUGACCUGUCCUUUUUUGUUCUUUCUUAGUUCCUGUGGAUUAUGCAUGGCAUUUUUCCUUUUAAAGAAAGCUCACAUUUAUCAAACUUCAUCUUGUGAUCAUUAUUUUAAUCUCUAGCUUUGACUAUUCUGUUUCUUCAAAGAAAAUCCACCUUUUGGGUAUUCAGUUUUAUAUCCCCUCAUUUCUAUCCACCCUCUAAAAAAACAAUGGGAGAAUAAUUAUGCAGAUUAAGUGAGCCACACAUAUUAAAGAAUGAAACAAGAUUAUACUAGAUCUGAAAUGUAGUCUACUGCCACCAGGCAGGGUAUUGCUCCACAUGCUUCUGAUCUCCCAGCAAAAUGUUACAUUCUAGCUAUAAUAUUGUGAUGGGCAGAAGGAUCAGCAUGUAUACCUAGCAACCAAAUAACAACUUUGUUUAACUGAGGCCUUUUUCAGAUCAACAGAUUAUUUUCCAAGCAAAGCUCAUUUAAUAUUGUCUCAAUAAUUUUUCCAGUGUUCUACUUACUAUAGAGGUCAUCUGCCCAUCUGUACCCCUGUCCCUCCUGCUUAGCAAUGCAGAUGCACUUUAAAUUUAUUCAAGUUUUCUUCUAAAAUUGUCUUCCCUGGAUUGUAUUUUUAAAUAUUUUUAUUAGUGUAUUAUAGCUAUACACAAUAGAGUUGAUUUUGACGUAAUCAUAUAAGCAGUACCUAGUUCUUCCCCUGUCUGUCUCCUCCUCCCUCACUCUGUUCCCUUCUUCUUCUGUACUUGUCUUUCUUCUACAUACUUAUUUUUUGGUGUUUUAUAGGAAUACAUGCAGGUGGAAUUCAGUGUGGUUUACUGCAUAUGGAGAAAAUUCUUGCCUGUUACUUCUCCACCAGGGGAUUAAUAUCUAGAAUAUAGAAAGAACUUUAAAAAAAACUCACAACAUCAAAAUCCAAAGAAACUAAUCAAUAAAUGGGUUCUUCAGAAGAACUGAAGAGACAUUUCUGAAAAGAAGAAAUAGAAAUGGCUAAGAAAUAUAUGAAAAAAAUGUUCAACAUUCCUAGCAAUCAGGGAAAUACACAUCAAAACUACAUUGAGGCCAGUGGUACACACCUGUAAUCCCAGCAACUCAGAGGCUGAGGCAGGUGGAUUGCAAGUUCAAAGCCAGCCUGAGCAAUUUAGCAAGGCCCUAAGCAAUUUAGCAAGACCCUAUCUCUAAAUAAAAUAUUUAAGAAGGGGGCUGGGGAUGUGGCUCAGUGGUUAAGUACCUCUGGGUUCAAUCCCUGGUACCAAAAAUCAAACAAACAUGCAAAAACACUACAUUGAGAUUUCAUCUCACUCCUAAAACGAUUGUUGAAAUAUUGAAUGUACAGAAACAUGCGUGAAUUGUAAGUUUACAGCUUAAUAAAUGAUCACAAAAUGAAUAGACCUGUGUAGCCCUUGCAUAGAUCAAGGAAAAGAACCAUAGCAUGGUGGUUUGUUCUUGUGAGUUAGAGAGCUUAGCUGCAGAGAAGUAGAAAUGUGUUUCUUCCUAAGCAGUUAUUAAAAACCUGUGUGACAUUUCAUCUCACAAGAGCAUGCAGACUUAGUCAAUAUAAGUACAUUUCUUGCUGCAGUUUCAAAAUUCUCUUUUAGCACACUUCAUUGUUCUUGUAGCUCAUGAAGUGAAUUAAACCCUCAACAUGCCAACACACAGACAAACCAGAGUGGGUCACAAACACCACAAUGUACACAGCCUCCAAAGACAUUUCAAAGGGAUGACUGCCCUGAAGUUUCCUCUAGUUUGCUAUAAUGUUUCAACAGUAACAUCCAGUAGCAUCUCUGUUAUGACUGCAGGGGACAUUUUAGUGUAUUCAAAACCUUGUGACUGAUUCAAAUGUGCAGGAUACAUUUGAAAGUCUUGAACAUACAGUUUCCUUAACACAUUUAUAUGUAGCAUCAGGUUAACACCAGGAAGACAGACUUCUGUUUUGUUUUGGAAGAGGACUGUCCCCUUGGAGGGAAAAAAAAAAAUCACUAAAGUCUCCUCUUGUGGCUUCCCUAGAAAAAUAAAGGAACAUGAUGCAGUUAUGAGAUUCCAGAUUCACUGAGGAGACAAACACCUCAGUGAAUCUGGAAUCUCAUGGAUAAAGCAUCUUAUUAUGCAAGGAUAUCUCCACACAUGUGGCCUUCCUUGAGUGUAUACAUGGUGGAGAGCAGGAUCCAGUUUUCAUUAGAGAUGAAAUCAAGUCAUAUAGGUCCUUCUCUAAGGCACGAAGAAUCUGAUGAAAAGCUAUUCUCCACUCUUCUUUCACACAUCCCUAAGAAGGAAUUUAUGCAUAGAGAAAUGAUUAGCUGGCCUGUUGCACAUUAAUCUCUGCUGCCUUCAAGAAAUCCUUGACAAGGUUGAAUAUAAUUGUGGCACGCUGGGAGGAGAAGAGCUUUGGACCUAAGAAACCCCAAACAGAAACACUGUGCAACAAGCUUAGGUGUCAUCAAGGUACCACAUAGUUGUUGGGAUGAGAAAAGAAAAUACAAAGCCCAGUGAUGAUAUCACUCAGCCAGUACCACUUCCCCACAAGGUGAGGCUUGUCCAGCAGAACAGAGACUUUGAGACCUACCGUGCUCAACUUAGGACUUUCUCCAGCCAGAUGCACUACCAACUGUAGCUGUUUAUGGUACGAGCAGAUUCGGGGUUCCUAGAAGCCAAAGUUGGUUUUCAGAUCCCCUGAGAUGAUGGUAGUAGCCACUUACCAUGUGCUUGUUUAGGAAGAUCCAGCCCUAUUGAUCCGUGACCUAGAAGCAAAGCUUUAGCUACAUUUGUUCAUAAAUUUUACAGCCAGAGUUAUAGUAAAUCUCACAAAUGUUGACUGAUGUUGAUGAAACUAUUGUGCCUUGGCCUUCCUGUAAUAAAGGAAGAUCUACUAUGUAAAGGCCCAAGUGGGUAGGAAAUAACAGAGCUCUCCCUUUCUUUUUCCCUCACCCCCUCUUCACUGUCUCCUUCUCCUGGCCCUCUCUUGGGACCUGAGUGCUGUCACCUGUUGGAAGAAACUAGCCUCGCAUAUCUUUUGUCUCAGAGAUUAAAGAUGGUAUCAAAUACAAGGGAAACUAGGCCAAGUCUAGUCUUUCAAUAGACUGCAAGAACGUUUUCCCCCUGUUAGCUAUUUUGGCCAACUUAAAACUCUUGUUAGGACAGUGGGGUUUGGUCAUUUAAUGCUUCUCUCCCCAAGCUCCCAUGGCCUUUGACCUAUCAAGGAAAAGCCCAUCUGUCAGGAUUUGAUGGACAGGUCCUAUUGCUCUAUAAAUUAUAGCAGGAGGUUGCACAUCUUUGAAUAUGAUACUUCUUCCCUAUGUCUUUGGCAGCUACUCUUUCAAGAGGACUUGAGGCAGGAGAGAUCAUGCAUGUUCACACCUUUCUCCCAGUACCUUACAUAGUCUAGAAGUCAGGGGGUACUGAACCUGAACACUGGUAUUAUUCAUUUUAUGACAUUAUGUGUGGACUACCUCUGUAGUUUGGGGGAAGAUUCCUCAAGCUCCCCUAAAUCUGUUUUCAAUAGACUCUUUAUUACAACCCUGUGCAAUAUUAUAAUCCCAACUUUCCAGAUAUGCCUGAACACAUGUGAUGUGCCCCCAAUACUUACUUAGUUUUUAGCUGGAAUCUAAUUUUUUGACACUAUCAAUUAAUUUUCUGGGUAUGAUGGUCCUGGAAAAUGGCAGUUCUGAUAAAAAGUGACAAGUUUUAAAGUUCAAAGUCCUUACACUUAUGGGGGAAUUUUAGUUUCUCAUUUGACAAAAUAUUCUGAAGGAUUCAGCCAUGAUAUCUUUGGCCACUUGGCAGUACAUGAUGUGUGUGUGUAUAUAUAUAUAUUUUGUGCCAUGGAAUGUUCUUAGCCAGAGAGCCUUGGCAGGAGAUUGUGUGGGUCAAGUAACUUGAUGAGUUUUCCUUACCUGGUAGAAAUUAUAGGUUGCAUAUUUUAUAACACAAUUAUCAUUUUUAGAGGUAAGGUAAUUAUUGGAGACUAGAACCUGCACUGUUAAGCUAAAAGCCAGGAAAAUAGAGUUCAAGGGUCAUGGUGACCUACAGACUAGUAUGGCCACAGGAAUUUUGUCUAUAAGAUAAGGGUAACUAGGUAGAAUGGAUGAGUGGUUCCUUCCUCUGGAGGGCUUACUAAAGCACCAGUUUCAGGGCCUCACCCCCAAAUUUCCAAUUCAACAUGUCUGAGAAUGUGUAUUUCUAACAAGAUCCAUGCUGUUGAUUCUGGGACCACAUGUGGAAUGACACUGUAACAGAUUAUGUCUAAAGGUCAUUCCCCACCUCUGAUCUAAUAAAAUGUGCCCAGUUGCUUAAAUAGAAGGGACUAUAUUGGCCCAGCCAAAGCUGCCUCUGUGUUCAAGUGUACUAUUGGGCUCCCAUCCAAAGAAUGCUGAUCCUCCAGAUUCAUGAAUGAGAAUUUUGUUUCUAAUGAGCGGAGAGCAAGAUGUGCUUAAGGGUGCCUUGGCAGUAUCACAGCCAUUUUUAUCACAUGCACCUGUGCCACAGGUUAGGCCAAGGCCAAAGACAGGUGGAAUACUGGGGCCUUCUGAGAAGGUGGAAGUACUCUGUGACUGGUUGUUUUGGGGCCCCAGAAAGACUAGGAGGCGUACCCUGUGUGUAGAUGGUUCCAUUUAGGCCUAAGAUAGCUAUAUGGUCGAGAGACAAAGAGAAUGUAAAGCCCCACUGUCCUCUUUCCCCUUCUACUUCUUACAAACCAUGACUUUUUCUUAUCUCACAAGCAAAUGAACCUAGUCGAGAAUAGUGUCUCUGUUGCUGUCAUAAGGAAAGAACUAUUAUUCUGUCAGCUAAGUUUGACUAGAGUAUCAUAUUAUAUUGAAAAAUUUUCCAAAUGCAUGUGCUAUGGCUUUGAAUUAAAUUUUGGCCUUUUAGUUAAUAUCUUACUAAUUCCAUAUUGCUUGAUUUUUUUUUUCAUUACUCUCAUAACAUGAACAGAUUUUAAUACUACUUAGUAUCAAAAGUUGUUCUUAACUGACCAGAGCAAGCUUCUUCUGGAACCCUGUGGCCAGUUCCAGAACUUCAGUUGACUGUGUAGCCUUCCUCCAGCUUAGUUCCCACAAUUGAAAUCUGGUUUCUUCUUUAUCUCUAGCAUCCUUUCCCUGGUCACAUAAUGGAAACCCUCAGUCCCUCCAUUGCUAAAAAUUACAUCUAGAUAUAUCCAUAUAUCAAAAUAUAUCACAUCCCAUAAAUAUAUUUAAUCAUUAUGUAUCAACUUAAAAUGUUUAAUUAAAAAUUACAUCUGAUGUGACUUGAAUGUCUCUUUUUUGUUUGUCUCCCUGGCAACAGUUGAUUGGCAUGUUGCUGGCCUGCUGUCUGUCCCGGUUCAUCACGGCCAAUCAGUAUGAGAUGGUGUAAGAAGGUGAGUGGCAAUGGGGAGUGCUGGACUUGGUGGGUGUGCCUGGACUACUGCCAUAUACCCUUCAGCCAACUCUGCAAGAGGACUGUCUGGCCACUUAAAUACCUGUUCUGGGUGGCACUUGUCCAUAGGCAGAAAUCUCAUUUCCCAGGUGCUGGGAGGAGGUGUGCUGGGUGCUAUUGCAUAAAAUAUGGAAAUGCUCUUUUCAGCAUGUUACCUUUUUGUUCAAGUCCUUAUUAAUGGUGAAUCACUUGUGUUUUAAUUUCCCUCUCAGUCUUUCAAGAGCGAUGGAAUAAGAGACCUGUUUUAAAAAGGAACUACAGCAAUCUCUGAAAGACUUCCAAAGAAUAUUAGAGCACAGUACAUAAUACACCUGCCCUGCUCCUGCUACCCCCUUCCCCAAACCCUACCCACCCACCCCCUGCGUGCAACUGACACUCCUACCCAGUCUCUCUCAUCUUUCCACCGGCAUCAUGUGUAGUGUCCAUCUUGUGAAGCCCUGUUGUGCCACAGAGUAUAGCCAGGCCCCCUGCGGCUANCAGGAGAGAUCAUGCAUGUUCACACCUUUCUCCCAGUACCUUACAUAGUCUAGAAGUCAGGGGGUACUGAACCUGAACACUGGUAUUAUUCAUUUUAUGACAUUAUGUGUGGACUACCUCUGUAGUUUGGGGGAAGAUUCCUCAAGCUCCCCUAAAUCUGUUUUCAAUAGACUCUUUAUUACAACCCUGUGCAAUAUUAUAAUCCCAACUUUCCAGAUAUGCCUGAACACAUGUGAUGUGCCCCCAAUACUUACUUAGUUUUUAGCUGGAAUCUAAUUUUUUGACACUAUCAAUUAAUUUUCUGGGUAUGAUGGUCCUGGAAAAUGGCAGUUCUGAUAAAAAGUGACAAGUUUUAAAGUUCAAAGUCCUUACACUUAUGGGGGAAUUUUAGUUUCUCAUUUGACAAAAUAUUCUGAAGGAUUCAGCCAUGAUAUCUUUGGCCACUUGGCAGUACAUGAUGUGUGUGUGUAUAUAUAUAUAUUUUGUGCCAUGGAAUGUUCUUAGCCAGAGAGCCUUGGCAGGAGAUUGUGUGGGUCAAGUAACUUGAUGAGUUUUCCUUACCUGGUAGAAAUUAUAGGUUGCAUAUUUUAUAACACAAUUAUCAUUUUUAGAGGUAAGGUAAUUAUUGGAGACUAGAACCUGCACUGUUAAGCUAAAAGCCAGGAAAAUAGAGUUCAAGGGUCAUGGUGACCUACAGACUAGUAUGGCCACAGGAAUUUUGUCUAUAAGAUAAGGGUAACUAGGUAGAAUGGAUGAGUGGUUCCUUCCUCUGGAGGGCUUACUAAAGCACCAGUUUCAGGGCCUCACCCCCAAAUUUCCAAUUCAACAUGUCUGAGAAUGUGUAUUUCUAACAAGAUCCAUGCUGUUGAUUCUGGGACCACAUGUGGAAUGACACUGUAACAGAUUAUGUCUAAAGGUCAUUCCCCACCUCUGAUCUAAUAAAAUGUGCCCAGUUGCUUAAAUAGAAGGGACUAUAUUGGCCCAGCCAAAGCUGCCUCUGUGUUCAAGUGUACUAUUGGGCUCCCAUCCAAAGAAUGCUGAUCCUCCAGAUUCAUGAAUGAGAAUUUUGUUUCUAAUGAGCGGAGAGCAAGAUGUGCUUAAGGGUGCCUUGGCAGUAUCACAGCCAUUUUUAUCACAUGCACCUGUGCCACAGGUUAGGCCAAGGCCAAAGACAGGUGGAAUACUGGGGCCUUCUGAGAAGGUGGAAGUACUCUGUGACUGGUUGUUUUGGGGCCCCAGAAAGACUAGGAGGCGUACCCUGUGUGUAGAUGGUUCCAUUUAGGCCUAAGAUAGCUAUAUGGUCGAGAGACAAAGAGAAUGUAAAGCCCCACUGUCCUCUUUCCCCUUCUACUUCUUACAAACCAUGACUUUUUCUUAUCUCACAAGCAAAUGAACCUAGUCGAGAAUAGUGUCUCUGUUGCUGUCAUAAGGAAAGAACUAUUAUUCUGUCAGCUAAGUUUGACUAGAGUAUCAUAUUAUAUUGAAAAAUUUUCCAAAUGCAUGUGCUAUGGCUUUGAAUUAAAUUUUGGCCUUUUAGUUAAUAUCUUACUAAUUCCAUAUUGCUUGAUUUUUUUUUUCAUUACUCUCAUAACAUGAACAGAUUUUAAUACUACUUAGUAUCAAAAGUUGUUCUUAACUGACCAAAGCAAGCUUCUUCUGGAACCCUGUGGCCAGUUCCAGAACUUCAGUUGACUGUGUAGCCUUCCUCCAGCUUAGUUCCCACAAUUGAAAUCUGGUUUCUUCUUUAUCUCUAGCAUCCUUUCCCUGGUCACAUAAUGGAAACCCUCAGUCCCUCCAUUGCUAAAAAUUACAUCUAGAUAUAUCCAUAUAUCAAAAUAUAUCACAUCCCAUAAAUAUAUUUAAUCAUUAUGUAUCAACUUAAAAUGUUUAAUUAAAAAUUACAUCUGAUGUGACUUGAAUGUCUCUUUUUUGUUUGUCUCCCUGGCAACAGUUGAUUGGCAUGUUGCUGGCCUGCUGUCUGUCCCGGUUCAUCACGGCCAAUCAGUAUGAGAUGGUGUAAGAAGGUGAGUGGCAAUGGGGAGUGCUGGACUUGGUGGGUGUGCCUGGACUACUGCCAUAUACCCUUCAGCCAACUCUGCAAGAGGACUGUCUGGCCACUUAAAUACCUGUUCUGGGUGGCACUUGUCCAUAGGCAGAAAUCUCAUUUCCCAGGUGCUGGGAGGAGGUGUGCUGGGUGCUAUUGCAUAAAAUAUGGAAAUGCUCUUUUCAGCAUGUUACCUUUUUGUUCAAGUCCUUAUUAAUGGUGAAUCACUUGUGUUUUAAUUUCCCUCUCAGUCUUUCAAGAGCGAUGGAAUAAGAGACCUGUUUUAAAAAGGAACUACAGCAAUCUCUGAAAGACUUCCAAAGAAUAUUAGAGCACAGUACAUAAUACACCUGCCCUGCUCCUGCUACCCCCUUCCCCAAACCCUACCCACCCACCCCCUGCGUGCAACUGACACUCCUACCCAGUCUCUCUCAUCUUUCCACCGGCAUCAUGUGUAGUGUCCAUCUUGUGAAGCCCUGUUGUGCCACAGAGUAUAGCCAGGCCCCCUGCGGCUAGUCCUAGUGAUCCCUGCCCUGAGGCCCCGUGCGUGCCAGCUCCUUCACGUGUACUUGGUCCACCUGCAGCUCAUCGUAGGUCACUGGUUAUCACACCAUCACUGGCCCCUUGGAGUCCUGCAUGUAUUAUGGGAAACUCCUGUUAGCCCCUGACCGUGGUGGAUAAAUGCCACAUACCUUUACGUAGAUAAGCAGAUGCUAGUUAUCUGUUCUUUUGACUUAAUCUCAUUUGGUUUGGUUUUCCCUUUACUAAAAUGCUUUCCUACCUUCUUUAAGCUGCCUAGGACAGGUAAAGAGACCCACUAGUAAUUGUUCCUACAGAGAAGAAAGCAUGUGUCACGCAUGAGGAAAUGGUCUUGGAGCGUUAGGUAGCCUCCUUGCUUGUUAUUGUUCCAUACCUGGGUAUGAAGAGACAGUUUAGUGCGCCUAUGCCUCUCAGUUGAAACCUGUAUAAUCCUGUUACAAUGCUGUUGUUGCUUCCUGUGAAGGCAAUGAUAUUACUUUUGUUUUUCCCCAAUGAAUUGCUGUUGUGUUAUUUUACUACUUCUUCCUGUAUUUUUCCUGUAUUUUUUUUUUCUUGCAUUGACAUUACAGACUUUGAGGACCUCAUCAGAUCAAUUGAAAAAUGAGUGUGAAGGGGGAACAAAAGUCAAAAUAUUUUUAAAAGAUCUUUAAAAAUAAUGCCUCUGUCUAGCAUGCCAACACGAAUGCAUUGAUAUUGUGAACAUUUGUGAUAUAUGUAUUAAUAAAUAGAGCAAUUACAAAUGGUU